This 450-nucleotide ribosomal RNA is filed under the name uncultured bacterium. RNAcentral describes it as "partial 16S ribosomal RNA". It matches the Rfam family "Bacterial small subunit ribosomal RNA", at positions 354 to 796 of the family's 1533-position model. The record is from RNAcentral.
GUGGGGAAUAUUGGACAAUGGGCGAAAGCCUGAUCCAGCCAUGCCGCGUGUGUGAAGAAGGUCUUCGGAUUGUAAAGCACUUUAAGUUGGGAGGAAGGGCAGUAAGUUAAUACCUUGCUGUUUUGACGUUACCGACAGAAUAAGCACCGGCUAACUUCGUGCCAGCAGCCGCGGUAAUACGAAGGGUGCAAGCGUUAAUCGGAAUUACUGGGCGUAAAGCGCGCGUAGGUGGUUUUGUAAGUUGGAGGUGAAAUCCCCGGGCUCAACCUGGGAACUGCCUCAAAAACUGGAUGACUAGAGUACGGUAGAGGGUAGUGGAAUUUCCUGUGUAGCGGUGAAAUGCGUAGAUAUAGGAAGGAACACCAGUGGCGAAGGCGACUACCUGGACUGAUACUGACACUGAGGUGCGAAAGCGUGGGGAGCAAACAGGAUUAGAUACCCGGGUAGUCC